GGGGAUGCACUGAAUCGCCGGAAUUUGCUCUUUAAAAACUGCAAGCCGACUUUUAUCUGAAGUCGUUAAACAUGGAUUAAAAACUAAGUGCUGAUAAUGAUUCACGCACAACCGCAGAGAUUCUUGCUAGUGUAAAAGCUAAGCUUGCUCGUCUCUCCGGUGCUCAAUCUGCAAAUUUUGCUUACGCACGACUUGCAGCCUAAAGCCAUCUCUGCAUAUCUUUUCCUGAUGGGAUAGUAGAGGUGAAAACACAGUCGGGAUGCAGUUCGUACAGUUUGAUGUUCUGUACGAAUUAAGACUAAUUCAUCUGGCUAUAAUUUUCCUGUCAAUUGGAACAGAUUAUAGUGAAUAUAUAAAUUGACUACGCUUGUAGACGUUUUCGAAGUUCAAUUUCGCACGAGGGCUCAAAACCCUCCAUCUCCACCA
This 426-nucleotide transfer-messenger RNA is filed under the name Candidatus Microgenomates bacterium. It matches the Rfam family "transfer-messenger RNA". From Rfam's summary of the family: Bacterial tmRNA, also known as 10Sa RNA or SsrA, is named for its dual tRNA and mRNA-like properties. Its role is to liberate the mRNA from a stalled ribosome. To accomplish this part of the tmRNA is used as a reading frame that ends in a translation stop signal. Lineage: Bacteria; Candidatus Microgenomatota. The record is from RNAcentral.